This 466-nucleotide ribosomal RNA is filed under the name uncultured bacterium. RNAcentral describes it as "partial 16S ribosomal RNA". It matches the Rfam family "Bacterial small subunit ribosomal RNA", at positions 28 to 507 of the family's 1533-position model. The record is from RNAcentral.
GACGAACGCUGGCGGCGUGCUUAACACAUGCAAGUCGAACGGAAAGGCCUCCUUCGGGGGGUACUCGCGUGGCGAACGGGUGAGUAACGCGUGAGUAACCUGCCCGUGACUCUGGGAUAACUUCAGGAAACUGGGGCUAAUACCGGAUAGUAGCUCCGGCUGCCUGGUGGGGGUUGGAAAGUUUCGGCGGUUGGGGAUGGACUCGGGGCUUAUCAGCUUGUUGGUGGGGUAGUGGCGUCCCAAGGCUUUGAGGGGUAGCGGGCCUGAGAGGGGGACGGGCCCCAUUGGGGCUGGGAGACGCCCCAGACACUUCCGGGGGGCGGAGGUGGGGAGUAUUGCGCAAUGGGGGGACGCCUGUGACCGCACCGCCGUGUGCGGAAUAAGGGCCUUGGGGUUGUGAACCGCUUUCGCUGAUGGGAAGGCUUUAGGGAAGGGAAGUGGAUAAGAAGCGACGGCUAACUACGUG